AUUCCGCUUAUAACCAGCAAAUUGAUCCAAAUCUGAAGCAUAUCGAUCGAUGUCCUUCUCCCCCACCCCUAAAGCGUAUCGAUGUCCUUCUCCCCCAAAUCGAUUCAGCCUUAUCAGAGGUCUGGAAGCGGUCGUAGGCAACAACAAUUUGAUAUCUCCCCCAAUUUCGAAGCGGUGACUCCGCCCAUUACUGCCUAUCUCUAUCAUUCAAUUCAUAUUCAUUGUUCUUGAUCCUCUUAUUUUAUCUCUGUACUGACAUCCAUUUGGCACGCUGGUUUGGGUUGAAUCAGUCAAAAUAUCUGUGGGCAUUUGAUGAUUAUUAUGAAAGCAAGGGAUCGCAGGGCAUCGGUCGGAAAUUGGAUUGCAUCGUGGAGGCCAACAGUUAAUUGUUCCUUCUGCAAAUUAAGGAGAAGAUCAGUAACUUGGCCAGUGCUGCCAAGGAGAAAGUAGAGACUCACAAAGCCAAAACGGAAGAGAAGGUUGAGAAGAUGACAGCGAGGACAGAGGAAGAGAAUUCAGAUGUGCCGGAGGCUUUUCUCCCUUCAAAUUAUAGACCAUCGAGCAGCGAGCUUUCCAGAUGCGCCAACAGGUGAAGGACACAUGAGUAAGAAUCCAAUUUAAUUGAGAUUUUGAAAAGCUUUUGCUGUAAAAUAAAGUGAGCCACUUAUCAAUUGUUGUGAAGCUUUGUUUCUCUGGUCUGUAGCUUAUUGGACUUGCAAACCAAAUUUUUUCUGUCCAACUAAAAGUUGCUAUAUUAGUUUGGUUACUGUAUGUCUGUAUCUGUUUUGACUUUUGAUUCGAAACAAUGAAAUUUGGCAGUUUUGGAUAUUGAAUAGCAUCUGUUUUGGACCUUUGGUAAUUUGGAACUGAGUAUGAAUCAAUUGAUAAUUUGUUUUGGACUUUGGUUACUGUCUCUAGUUUGAAUAAUAAAAUUUGGCAGUUUUGGAUGGGAAUUGAAUAGCAUCUGUUUUGGUAAUUUGGAUGGGAGUUGAAUCAAUUGAUAAUAAUUGAUAAGCAUCUGUUUUGGUAACAUGUUUUUGCUAGGUCCUUUGGCAGCUACACCAAAGACUGGAAACUCAAGUUACAAGUAAUUUUAUCUUAUUUUGGACACUUCAAUCUUGUUCUUUUCUUUUGUUGUUGUGUAUGGAGAAGUUUAGGCCAUAUGUCCCCUUCUCUCUACUCUUCGUACUUGUUUUAUCAAAAAUAGUUUGAUGGUUAUGUUUUUGUCUACUUUGAGUUAGUCCUCAAAGCAUUUUGAUGUAUGCUCAUUCUUGGACAAGGAUUAUGUUGUUAAAGGGGAAAAUCUUAGUGAUAUUCCACCUUCAACAACAAUGUAUACUAGGAAUGUAAGAACAUCUUACUAUGAAUGUAAAGUUUAUUCA
Molecule: long non-coding RNA, 1382 nt
Organism: Rosa chinensis
Lineage: Eukaryota; Viridiplantae; Streptophyta; Magnoliopsida; Rosales; Rosaceae
Exons: 4
Source: RefSeq, a predicted model, not a curated record